Molecule: long non-coding RNA, 213 nt
Filed under: Elaeis guineensis (African oil palm)
Lineage: Eukaryota; Viridiplantae; Streptophyta; Magnoliopsida; Arecales; Arecaceae
Description: long non-coding RNA (EGUI_LNC064792)
Source: RNAcentral
AGUUGUCAUAUUAUAAAUGAUAAUUCUAAUAGCAGAUGAGCAUCAGGCCUUUGAGCCAUCUAAUGAUCAUCCAACUAUUGGACCCAUUAUCACUUAACUUAAUAAGAGACUACAAUCUAGUUAUCUCCAUAACUAAUUUAUUUUUAGAAACCCAAUAAUUUUAGAAGAUUUAAUUAAUUGAGUUGAUAGAUAAGAAAAGACUCGAUCAGUUAU